GACGAACGCUGGCGGCGUGCUUAACACAUGCAAGUCGAACGGAAAGGCCCUGCUUUUGUGGGGUGCUCGAGUGGCGAACGGGUGAGUAACACGUGAGUAACCUGCCCUUGACUUUGGGAUAACUUCAGGAAACUGGGGCUAAUACCGGAUAGGAGCUCCUGCUGGAUGGUGGGGGUUGGAAAGUUUCGGCGGUUGGGGAUGGACUCGCGGCUUAUCAGCUUGUUGGUGGGGUAGUGGCUUACCAAGGCUUUGACGGGUAGCCGGCCUGAGAGGGUGACCGGCCACAUUGGGACUGAGAGACGGCCCAGACUCCUACGGGAGGCAGCAGGGGGGAAUAUUGCACAAUGGGCGGAAGCCUGAUGCAGCAACGCCGCGUGCGGGAUGACGGCCUUCGGGGUGUAAACCGCUUUCGCCUGUGACGAAGCGUGAGUGACGGUAAUGGGUAAAGAAGCACCGGCUAACUACGUG
RNAcentral lists this ribosomal RNA (468 nucleotides) under uncultured bacterium. RNAcentral's name for it is "partial 16S ribosomal RNA". It matches the Rfam family "Bacterial small subunit ribosomal RNA", at positions 28 to 507 of the family's 1533-position model. The record is from RNAcentral.